UAUUAAUAUUUUCUCUAAAAAAAAAAAAUACUGCUACAACAGCUCGUAUUUACUCAAAACUACUUCCCUAAACCCGGAAAACAGAUACAAAGAUGUACACAAACUAUUUAUAGUAAAAAGUGCAGUGAAGGGAGGCAGGAAAAGGAGUCCAUGAAGAAGCAUGCCUUUUCACAGGCUUCAUAAACAAGCUUUCGUAAUAUCAUCAUCAGUUGAAAAGGUUAAAGAAGCAUUAUAACAUUACAAAACUUUGGCUGGAAGUGAAGAAAACAACAUGGUGGCCUUGAAAGAAAACCCACAUUUUCAAGGGUUUACAUUAACAAAACAGUGAGCAGAAAAAAAAUACACAUUGUAUUACUCUAUUAAUGGCUCAAAUUACACAGUAAUGACUAGACUCGGUAAUUAGAUUGUUGUAGUGUUUGUGGUGUAAUAAAUUGUUUAAAAAAGGAGAUGAAAAUGAAGGUAUCAUGAAGGAUACGGGAUAUCUUAAUGUGUCUGAGGGGAGUGCUUCCUGACAGAUAUAUAGCUACCAUUACUGGUUUAAUUAUCCCUGGUAAUAGUUGGGUGAAAGAAUAAACUUCCUGAGGAAAGAUUGUUUUACAACUCUCUAAAAUAUUCACCAGAAGCCAAACUAAAAUCUCCCUGAGGUUAUGGUCUUGCCAUUCAAUGCAUGUGAAAGCACAUUCACACACACACACAGACACACACACAAUAGCAGCAAGAAAAAGCUUUUUUUAUUCAAAGGUAUAGCAUUACUUUUAUAAUACUUGUUAUCCACUAUUGCCAUCUAAAGCUUACUCCCUUAAUGCUGAUUGGAUAUUUUUGCUGAGGCAUGUAGCAGUGAAGCAUGAAGCAGUAUUUUCCAUCUACUGACAUAUCAAAAGGUAGCUUAUCGGAUCAUCUUAGUUUGCCAUUUUCCCUGCGUCACGGGUACAUUCUUUGGUCAACUUGUCCCUAUUCCUUUGGGGAGGGGGGCCUUUCUCGUUACACCUCGUAUCCUCGCAACCGCCUAUUUACAACAUGCAUGUUAUUAAGAACUAUGCCUAUUUUUGCUCACUGUUCUCCAACUGGAUGUCUUCUCACAAAGAGAGCAUCUCAAGAAAAAGCUGGAGAAACAAGGAUAUCAACAAGCUAGCCAUUGUCAGUCUGUUGCAGACCAGUACAGACUAAGGUUACCAGCAACACUGUCUUUCUACAUUGGUCUCCCUGAUGUAUUCCCCCAUGCUCUUCUCCUUCCCAUUGCUCUCCAUACCCUCUACCUCUAAGAGAAUUUAAUUUCAAGCAUCUGCAUCAAAGAAUACCUACGUUAUAAGACCAGGGAUAAGCAGGUUAUUCAAAGUAGCUAUUUUACAGUACUGAUGCAAGCCAGCGAUUCCCUAGGCUGCAUUAAAACUAGAAAUGUCUGGGAAAGGAAACCUCUAGCAAACCAGAGUAGGUGGAACACAGUCUUCGACUGUUCUUCAUAUGGUCUGCAAACAAGGGGUCAAGUUUUUGAGGCAACCUUCACUCCAGAAUCUCCACCCACCUGAAAGACAUUCUUGGAAAGUCACACAGUGGAAUGCUAUUAGCGCAUCACUUAACUGCUUUGACUGUUCUUCUAUUACACUACUGGAAAUCAUCACUUAAGUUACACUGCUGUAAGACUGGAGCUAUGAUUGUCAGCAUGAAAAUGGACAGAAUAUAUUAUUUUGCUCUGCUGUAUUUAGCUUGCCAGGAAAAUUAAAGAAAAAAGGGUAUUCUAAGUGUUGUGCCAGUUCUAUCCCUGAUUAGACAAAGUGCUCUUCUCUUCUGCCUUAGUUCAUUUCCCAGUACAGGGAAAAUGAAGACUUCACUUCUCUGCAUUCCAACUGGCAGGGCUACCCAGCUGCUCUAUCUCAAAGAUCAAGAAGUGUGACCAAUCCUGCUUAGAGAGCCUGGUCAGCCAUAAGCAUUUGCAGAGACCUCAUUUCUCAGAAACUGGAUCAUUUUGCACAUCUAGUUUAGGAAUCACUGGAAGAUAUUUUUUCAAGAAAGCCAAUUGGUUUUAAGCUCUCUCUCCUUACUACCAUACAGAAUCAUAUAAUCUUCUGAGUUGGAAGGGACCUUUAAAGGUCACCUAGUCCAACUGCCCUGCAGUGAACAUGGACACUUACAGC
Long non-coding RNA from Numida meleagris (helmeted guineafowl), 2132 nucleotides. NCBI's taxonomy places the organism in Eukaryota, Metazoa, Chordata, Aves, Galliformes, Numididae. The record is from Ensembl.